Molecule: ribosomal RNA, 425 nt
Filed under: uncultured bacterium
Lineage: Bacteria
Description: bacterial SSU rRNA
Rfam family: Bacterial small subunit ribosomal RNA
Source: RNAcentral
GUGGGGAAUAUUGGACAAUGGGCGCAAGCCUGAUCCAGCCAUGCCGCGUGAGUGAUGAAGGCCUUAGGGUUGUAAAGCUCUUUCAGUAGGGAAGAUAAUGACGGUACCUACAGAAGAAGCCCCGGCUAACUUCGUGCCAGCAGCCGCGGUAAUACGAAGGGGGCUAGCGUUGUUCGGAAUUACUGGGCGUAAAGCGCACGUAGGCGGACAUUUAAGUCAGGGGUGAAAUCCCAGAGCUCAACUCUGGAACUGCCUUUGAUACUGGGUGUCUUGAGUAUGGAAGAGGUAAGUGGAAUUCCGAGUGUAGAGGUGAAAUUCGUAGAUAUUCGGAGGAACACCAGUGGCGAAGGCGGCUUACUGGUCCAUUACUGACGCUGAGGUGCGAAAGCGUGGGGAGCAAACAGGAUUAGAAACCCGGGUAGUCC